AUGGUGUAUGUUGUGCUAUUGUGCAUUUGCACUGUAUCAAUGUCAAAAGCAAUUGUCGCUGAACAACUUAACGUAUGAACAAAGAGUGCAAAAAAUGUGACAUACUUGUGUGUAUUUUUUUUUGUCUCAUCUGCGACAUCUUGGGUGUUGCACAUAGCCUACUUAGGCAAAUCAUUUUUUUUGGGUGCUGAGCCUGAAAAGCCAUUUUAGGGACUACAUGGCACAUUUAGAGGCAGCAAUAUUGAAAGGUUAGAGGGUGAUUAUCCCUUCCAUGUCUUGAGUAGACAGCAUUUUUAAAUACUCGUCAAACUUGAUUUAGUGGAUGUUAUGUAGCAAUAAUUACUUAAACUUAAGUUGUCUACUUGCUAUCAGCUUUUUAGCAUAUCAAUGAGUCCACUUUCUGGUUUCACCUAGGUCACUUAAGUCAAUGUCAUUACUGGAUACAAUUGUCUGGGGCAGGUAUAAACAACAUACAUGACUUGAGUAGCGGAGCUAAUUGUCUCUACCAAUGAACUAUUUCGCGGUUUGUGCUGGACCUGCAUUCAAAAGUAUCCACUGGACCUGACCUCCCCCACUGGACUUGACCUCCCCCUAGAGGUGUAAUUGUACAAGCAAGUUUAAUCAUUGAGACUACAUAAUCCACAAUCUUUCCUGUGAUUAAUUGACGGAGAUAUGCAUAAACACACUUUAAAUCAUUCUUGCUGGAUUCUACGAGACACCCUAGAGUGAAAACUUACCCAUAGAUAAAGUCACACUUUGUACUUUGUAUGGAAUGUAAUAGGUAGAGAUACAGAAAAGCGAAGUUUAUCUCAGCCCAAUGUAUGUCCGUGCUUAGCAGACUCUUAUUUUUUUAAGCAAUACUAAAUGAGACGAAAACAUGGUGGCAGGAAGCGACCGUCUCCUCUCACCUUUUGCGGGACUACAAAUAAAUGUUAAAUAAGUAAAAAAAUAAGUUAUUUGUUAAGCAGCAGACGGAACAUUUUUGUUCGGCUGGAGAAAGGAGUCUGAGCAAUCAGGAAGUGUCAUGUUGUAAAGUAGGUGACACAGGCAGCGAUGGAGAGCAGGGAAACGAGGACCACCAUGCAGGCCGCAAUGACCAAGUUCCUCCUCUUCUCCUUCUCAGCCUGCUGACGCUCCCACCACUCCAGGUCACUGAACUGACAACGCUCCCCCACGUAGCCUGCUACACAACUGCAACAGCAAGGGGAUGAACCACCACGAUGGAUGCUGGUUGGACCAUGUUGCCAUGGAUAAUUUGCAGUUUUCUCCCAGUCCGCUUGUGCACGCUCCGCAGCUGCUGGUGCUCCUGGUCAGAUAUCCACAACCUGUCUUCAAAUACUGCCAGGUCAAAAGGCCGACCUGGAGGCAUCAGAAUGGAGGGAAAGAAGAUUUUGAGUUCACCAAGUGUUUUCAAGGACCUGUCGUUCUGAACCAUCCAGAGCAGCAGUCUCCACCAGGCCCCUCCUCUGGUCGCACCAGAACAGACGAUCCUCUGUGAAAUCAAUGGUCAGGCCGCUUGGUGACACAAGGUUGGUGCUAGCAAUUACAGCACGGUCUUUCCCUUCCAAAGAGGCGCUUUCCACGACAGGAACGGCCCCUAUAUCAGUCCAGAACACUUUCCUCAAAAAGUAAAAAG
This is a long non-coding RNA of Etheostoma spectabile (orangethroat darter), 1636 nucleotides long. RefSeq lists it as uncharacterized. The transcript has 4 exons. Lineage: Eukaryota; Metazoa; Chordata; Actinopteri; Perciformes; Percidae. The record is from RefSeq and is a predicted model, not a curated record.